GGCGAACGCUGGCGGCGCGCCUAACACAUGCAAGUCGAACGGAGCUGAGAGAAGCUUGCUUUUCUUAGCUUAGUGGCGAACGGGUGAGUAACGCGUGAGUAACCUGCCCUGGAGUGGGGGACAACAGUUGGAAACGACUGCUAAUACCGCAUAAGCCCACGAUCCGGCAUCGGAUUGAGGGAAAAGGAUUUAUUCGCUUCAGGAUGGACUCGCGUCCAAUUAGCUAGUUGGUGAGGUAACGGCCCACCAAGGCGACGAUUGGUAGCCGGACUGAGAGGUUGAACGGCCACAUUGGGACUGGGACACGGCCCAGACUCCUACGGGAGGCAGCAGUGGGGGAUAUUGCACAAUGGGGGAAACCCUGAUGCAGCGACGCCGCGUGGAGGAAGAAGGUUUUCGGAUUGUAAACUCCUGUCGUUAGGGACGAUAAUGACGGUACCUAACAAGAAAGCACCGGCUAACUACGUG
This 468-nucleotide ribosomal RNA is filed under the name uncultured bacterium. RNAcentral's name for it is "partial 16S ribosomal RNA". It matches the Rfam family "Bacterial small subunit ribosomal RNA", at positions 28 to 507 of the family's 1533-position model. The record is from RNAcentral.